This 462-nucleotide ribosomal RNA is filed under the name uncultured bacterium. Its description in RNAcentral is "partial 16S ribosomal RNA". It matches the Rfam family "Bacterial small subunit ribosomal RNA", at positions 29 to 507 of the family's 1533-position model. The record is from RNAcentral.
AGUGAACGCUGGCGGCGUGCCUAAUACAUGCAAGUCGAACGGAGAUUAAGUAGCUUGCUAUUUAAUCUUAGUGGCGCACGGGUGAGUAAUAUAUAGCUAACUUGCCCAUUACUAAGGGACAACAGUUGGAAACGACUGCUAAUACCUUAUACUCCGUAUCUAUAUAAGUAGAUACGGGAAAGUUUUUCGGUAAUGGAUAGGGCUAUAUCGUAUCAGCUAGUUGGUAAGGUAAUGGCUUACCAAGGCUAUGACGCGUAACUGGUCUGAGAGGAUGAUCAGUCACACUGGAACUGAGACACGGUCCAGACUCCUACGGGAGGCAGCAGUAGGGAAUAUUGCUCAAUGGGGGAAACCCUGAAGCAGCAACGCCGCGUGGAGGAUGACACUUUUCGGAGCGUAAACUCCUUUUCUUGGGAAAGAAUUAUGACGGUACCCAAAGAAUAAGCACCGGCUAACUCCGUG